UGCAGAAUCCCGUGAACCAUCGAGUCUUUGAACGCAAGUUGCGCCCGAGGGACCCUCCCGAGGGCACGCCUGCCUCAUGGGCGUUAGAAGCCCAUCCACGCUCGGUUGCCUGACUAACGGCAGAGAUGCGGACAUUGGCCCUCCGAGCCGCGAGGCGCGGUGGGCCCAAGUGUGCGGCCGUCGUACGUGGCCGGGAGCGGCGAGUGGUGGGCUACUGCGCACGUCACCCCGAGCCCCGUACCGACGCAGGGCCUUGUACGACCCCCUAACGACGAGCAAGCCGCUGCGGCUUCGGCUGUGCGGUGCCUUCGGACCGAUACCCCAGGUCAGGCGGGGCUACCCGCCGAGUUUAAGCAUAUAAAUAAGCGGAGGAGAAGAAACUUACAAGGAUUCCCCUAGUAACGGCGAGCGAACCGGGAGAUGCCCAGCCUUAGAAUCGCGACGGCACUGCUGUCCGA
This 458-nucleotide ribosomal RNA is filed under the name Carex limosa. Its description in RNAcentral is "eukaryotic LSU rRNA". The stretch from base 317 to 458 matches the Rfam family "Eukaryotic large subunit ribosomal RNA", at positions 1 to 141 of the family's 3401-position model. The record is from RNAcentral. Lineage: Eukaryota; Viridiplantae; Streptophyta; Magnoliopsida; Poales; Cyperaceae.